UGGUAGCAGAAUCUUGGGAGGUUUCAAUUUAGCAAUCCUGAUGGUGAUGAUGCUAUUGAGCACCAACCGACACUGUGCGGCCGACGCGGUUAAGAAGAAUAAGAGCAUCAGCAGCCGCUGGUGCGAUGAUUCUUCAAAUAAGGAGUGCCUGCAGCUUUCUGACGACAUAGAAACGAUGGAGUUGACGAUGGAUUCAGAAGCAAGCAAAAUGGUAUUUGAAGCAAGUGCAGCAAUCAACUUCACCAACAGUAAAAAUCCAACUACCAGAGCCCUUGAACGUUCUCAAGCUGCCUGCGAGCGUAAUACUGGCAAGUCUUGCGAACCUGAUAGUAAUCCAGGCACAAAGGUACCUCCAAAUUGUUCACUAUACAGCAAAGAUUGCCACUGAUUUACUACUUUUUCUUGCUAUGCUGGUAUAUUGUGUUUCAAUUUAUCCAGAUAUAUACAUAUAUAUGAAUAAGGAUGAUGGAGAAAUAUCUCUUUCAAUAUAUGCAUAAAUAUUUCUGGUUUCGUUAAUGUCUUUUCAUAAUUUGUAGUAUAUGUGACAAGCAGGAGUACUCUCAUCAAAUUCUAAUGUAUAGGCCUUUGGGAACAAUGCACUGUAUAUUUUCUUCCUAUGCUAUAAGUUUCACCUUCGUAGAUUGUUUUGUAAUUUACUUUACCUAUUAACAAGAGGCAACACAUGGUUUGUCAGACCUACGAGGGUCAAAAAUGACAUUCUACAGCCUAAGAUUGAAGAAUAAUGCGACAACCUCCAAUAGCUUGAGUAUUAUUCUUGCUUAUCCUACACACUUCUCAAUAAAACAAACCCAGAACUGCAAAUCCUAACUAUACUAUCUCACCAUUUCACACUUCUGUUUAAAUAAAUAAAUAUUAAGAUAUCUUCAACUUUUAAUUUUUAAAUUUAAAUUAUUAAAAUUUAUUUAUAAUGAAUUAUUAGUAUUUAUUUACAAGUUUUUCAUAUUUUUUAUUUAAUUUAAUGAUGAUAGGUCAUGUUAUUAUUCACUUAUAAUCAAUGGUGAAGUCAAGAGGCUAGUAAGAGCCCUGACUCCUUUAAAAUGAAAAAAUAUUUAUUUAAACCUCUUUAUAAUUUAUUGAAAUUUUAAUUAAUAAUUGUAAAAUUACAUUUUAAUCCCUAAAAUGAUAAAAAUUUAAUUUAAUUUUUUAAAAAUUAUAAAGAUAUAAGUCAUUAAAAUUGUAAAAAUGUACAAUUUAAUUCCAACCUCCUAAAAAAAUAUUUGACUUCGCCACUGUUUAUAAUGCAUUGAACUUAUGUAUCAAAUAUCACUCCUUAUUUUUUAUACAAUAUCAAAAUCAUACAACACACAAGAGUGAACAUGAUCACAUAAACAAAAAGACGUUCCAGAUCGAUUUUUAUUAUUAUUAGAAAAAAAAACCUAUUAUGGCAAUGUAUAAAUAUUGAUGAUUAAUUUUUUAAGAAUGUUAUUGCAUAAAAUUAUCAUCUUGGAUUUUUUUUUGGUUGAAAAGCAAAAUUGAAAAAUAAGAUCAAAUUACAUAAUGUGUAAACGUUGAAAGUUAAUUUUUUUAGAAUCAAGAUUAAAUUGACACAAUGAAUAAAUGUUAAGUAUAAAGUUGAUAUUAUGAAAAUUUUAAAAGUUAUCACAUCAUCUUUUUGUUAGCCAUUUAUUGAAAGGUGACAAAAAUAAAAAAAAUUAAAAAAUUAAAAAAUUAUUUUAUAACUUUUAGUAAAAAAAAAACCAAUAAAAAAAAAGAGAGAGAGAGAGCCUAAUUUGUAGCAAAAAGAAGUCUGAUGACACUAAAUGAGUUUUGGCAUCAAUUUGAAUUACAAUGCAUUUACUAUUAGUGUGUUCUAUAAAGAAUGAUUGUACUUAGAAUUAGGUUACCACACUUACUAUAUACAUUUUCUUUUGCUAGCUGGCACUCUCAACUUUUGUUCCAACGAAAUUAAAACCUUUGCUCUUUGCCCAUGUGCACUUUGAUAAGGACAAUCUCUAUACUCAGAUUUAACUAAUUUAUUUUAUUUUUGAGAAACUAAAUUUUCUUAACAUAUUGCUUUAAAAUCUUGAUUUAUUAAUUAAGUGCUUGGUUUGGAAAAAAUUAAUUAAGUUGGUGCAAUAAUAAGAAAGAUUACAUUUUUACUUAAAAUUUUGUUACGCAAUUCUAAAAGAAAGCAAAGUCAGAAAGUGUAGAUUAUUUUUAACUUGGCCCUGCUUAGCUGCUCAGUGGAUCAGAAUUGGUUGUAUAUAUAUAUAUAUGAACUUCAAACGCUGAGAAUUUUUAUGAUUAGAGAUUUCUGGGAAAUAUGGGAGACUGUAGGAGAAUUUUGGGAGGUUUCAAUUUAGCAAUCCUGAUGGUGAUGCUGCUAUUGAGCACCGACCGACACUGUCUAAGAAGAACAAGAACAUCGGCAGCCGGUGGUGCGGUGGUUCUUUAAAUAAGGAGGAGUACCUGCAGCUUUCAGACGACAUGGAGACGAUGGAGUUGUUGAUGGAUUCAGAAGUGAGCAAAAUGGUAUUUGAAGCAAGUGCAGCAAUCAACUUCGCCGGCAGUAAACGUCCAACUACCAGAGCCCUUGUCCGUUCUCAAGCUGCCUGCGA
Molecule: long non-coding RNA, 2579 nt
Filed under: Gossypium barbadense (sea-island cotton)
Lineage: Eukaryota; Viridiplantae; Streptophyta; Magnoliopsida; Malvales; Malvaceae
Description: long non-coding RNA (GBAR_LNC010129)
Source: RNAcentral